UUUUUGUAAACUGCUUGAGUCGAUUAGACGUGUAUUUCAUUUGCUGCUCACGUUUCGUGUCGAUCUGACUUAAAAUUUUGCAAAAAUGCGUUACGUAGCUGCAUACCUGCUGGCUGUCCUGGGAGGCAACGCCGCCCCAUCCAACUCGGACAUCGAGAAGAUCCUCAGUUCGGUCGGUAUUGAGGCCGAUUCGACCCGCGUCACCAAGGUGGUGAACGAGCUGAAGGGCAAGUCGAUCGAGGAAUUGAUUGCUUCCGGACGCGAGAAGCUGUCCUCGAUGCCGGCUGGUGGUGGCGCGGCUGCUGCUGCUCCUGCUGCCGCUGGUGGUGCCGGUGCUGCUGCUGCCCCGGCUGCCGAGAAGAAGGAGGAGAAGAAGGAAGAAUCGGAAUCCGAGGACGACGACUUGGGCUUCGGUCUUUUCGAGUAAAAGUUUAUUACUGCGUCACAUUCAAUGCUGUUAUGCUAUAUCAUGGAGAUAUAGGGCUACAAACAAAUCCAACAAUUAUGCAUCAUUAUUACAGUGCGUGUAGUGGUGGUGUGUGGACUGGGUAUUGUGUACAAAAAGGCGUGACAUAGGAAUAAACUUUCAUUUCGAAAACUAGCUGCUCUUCUUUUCCAUUGUUCAAUUCACUUUCCAAAAAAUCGUAAAUUAGUUUCAAGCAUUUCUUUCCGGCGAUAAUUUAGCUUUCCACGCACCAACACGAAGAGGACGGCAUCUUGGCAACUUGAAACUUCCCAUCCCGAUGAAACAAGCAUUCGAGGCCGUUAUAGGUACAGUUGACGGAAACACCGCCGGAUGUUUCCAGCAAAAGUUUGCCUGUGUCCCCGAUUCUCGUGAGCUGUGGCUGUGGUCUUAGGUAUGUAUCAGGCACACUAUCCUCCGGGAAAAAGAAAGCAAAGAAUGUGAAAUAAACUACCCAUAACAAACUUUUAUUCAAACA
RNA transcript from Anopheles stephensi (Asian malaria mosquito), 941 nucleotides. It is a transcript of the gene named 60S acidic ribosomal protein P2, with no coding region annotated. The record is from RefSeq and is a predicted model, not a curated record. The transcript is spliced from 7 exons. Lineage: Eukaryota; Metazoa; Arthropoda; Insecta; Diptera; Culicidae.